UUCCCCGAGGAGCGCUGCGACGGCCAGAAGCCGCCAGGCUCGGGGCGAUGGCCUCAACCCAACGGCGCUCGAUUACA
RNAcentral lists this non-coding RNA (77 nucleotides) under Methylomagnum ishizawai. RNAcentral describes it as "SAH (S-adenosyl-L-homocysteine) riboswitch aptamer". It matches the Rfam family "SAH (S-adenosyl-L-homocysteine) riboswitch aptamer". RNAcentral also lists the same sequence under 1 other name. The record is from Rfam by way of RNAcentral. Lineage: Bacteria; Pseudomonadati; Pseudomonadota; Gammaproteobacteria; Methylococcales; Methylococcaceae.